CCUACGGGUGGCUGCAGUGAGGAAUAUUGGUCAAUGGACGAGAGUCUGAACCAGCCAAGUAGCGUGAAGGAUGACUGCCCUAUGGGUUGUAAACUUCUUUUAUAUGGGAAUAAAAUGUUCCACGUGUGGGAUUUUGUAUGUACCAUAUGAAUAAGGAUCGGCUAACUCCGUGCCAGCAGCCGCGGUAAUACGGAGGAUCCGAGCGUUAUCCGGAUUUAUUGGGUUUAAAGGGAGCGUAGGUGGAUUGUUAAGUCAGUUGUGAAAGUUUGCGGCUCAACCGUAGAAUCGCAGUUGAAACUGGCGGUCUUGAGUACAGUAGAGGUGAGCGGAAUUCGUGGUGUAGCGGUGAAAUGCUUAGAUAUCACGAAGAACUCCGAUUGCGAAGGCAGUUCACUGGACUGCAACUGACACUGAGGCUCGAAAGUGUGGGUAUCAAACAGGAUUAGAUACCCCAGUAGUC
Molecule: ribosomal RNA, 460 nt
Filed under: uncultured bacterium
Lineage: Bacteria
Description: partial 16S ribosomal RNA
Rfam family: Bacterial small subunit ribosomal RNA
Source: RNAcentral